GUUGAUGUAGCUCAGUGGUAGAGCGCAUGCUUUGUGUUUUUGAUGUCCUGGGUUCAAUCCCCAGCUUCUCCC
This 72-nucleotide transfer RNA is filed under the name Dallia pectoralis (Alaska blackfish). RNAcentral describes it as "tRNA-OTHER". It matches the Rfam family "tRNA". From Rfam's summary of the family: Transfer RNA (tRNA) molecules are approximately 80 nucleotides in length. The record is from RNAcentral. Lineage: Eukaryota; Metazoa; Chordata; Actinopteri; Esociformes; Umbridae.